RNAcentral lists this ribosomal RNA (253 nucleotides) under uncultured bacterium. Its description in RNAcentral is "partial 16S ribosomal RNA". It matches the Rfam family "Bacterial small subunit ribosomal RNA", at positions 524 to 776 of the family's 1533-position model. The record is from RNAcentral.
UACGAAGGGUGCAAGCGUUACUCGGAAUUACUGGGCGUAAAGCGUGCGUAGGUGGUUCGUUAAGUCUGAUGUGAAAGCCCUGGGCUCAACCUGGGAAUGGCAUUGGAAACUGGCGACCUAGAGUGCGGUAGAGGGCAGUGGAAUUCCCGGUGUAGCAGUGAAAUGCGUAGAGAUCGGGAGGAACAUCUGUGGCGAAGGCGACUGCCUGGACCAGCACUGACACUGAGGCACGAAAGCGUGGGGAGCAAAAGGG